GAUGAAGAACGCAGCGAAAUGCGAUAAGUAAUGUGAAUUGCAGAAUUCAGUGAAUCAUCGAAUCUUUGAACGCACAUUGCGCCCGCCAGUAUUCUGGCGGGCAUGCCUGUUCGAGCGUCAUUACAACCCUCAGGCCCCCGGGCCUGGCGUUGGGGAUCGGCGGAAGCCCCCUGCGGGCACAACGCCGUCCCCCGAAUACAGUGGCGGUCCCGCCGCAGCUUCCAUUGCGUAGUAGCUAACACCUCGCAACUGGAGAGCGGCGCGGCCACGCCGUAAAACACCCAACUUCUGAAUGUUGACCUCGAAUCAGGUAGGAAUACCCGCUGAACUUAAGCAUAUCAAUAAGCGGAGGA
Molecule: unclassified non-coding RNA, 353 nt
Filed under: soil metagenome
Description: partial contains 5.8S ribosomal RNA, internal transcribed spacer 2, and large subunit ribosomal RNA
Rfam family: 5.8S ribosomal RNA (bases 1-120)
Source: RNAcentral